GGGUGAUUAGCUCAGCUGGGAGAGCACCUCCCUUACAAGGAGGGGGUCGGCGGUUCGAUCCC
RNAcentral lists this transfer RNA (62 nucleotides) under Escherichia coli. RNAcentral describes it as "tRNA-Val". It matches the Rfam family "tRNA", at positions 1 to 60 of the family's 71-position model. From Rfam's summary of the family: Transfer RNA (tRNA) molecules are approximately 80 nucleotides in length. Their secondary structure includes four short double-helical elements and three loops (D, anti-codon, and T loops). Lineage: Bacteria; Pseudomonadati; Pseudomonadota; Gammaproteobacteria; Enterobacterales; Enterobacteriaceae. RNAcentral also lists the same sequence under 4 other names. The record is from RNAcentral.